Molecule: non-coding RNA, 72 nt
Organism: Bos taurus (domestic cattle)
Lineage: Eukaryota; Metazoa; Chordata; Mammalia; Artiodactyla; Bovidae
Source: Rfam
UCCCUGAUAGCUCAGUUGGUGAAGAAGCUGCCUGCAAUGCAGAAGACCCUGGUUCAACUCCUGGGUCGGGAA